Struthio camelus australis is the source of this 1147-nucleotide non-coding RNA. The record is from RefSeq and is a predicted model, not a curated record. NCBI's taxonomy places the organism in Eukaryota, Metazoa, Chordata, Aves, Struthioniformes, Struthionidae.
ACGAAUGACUAUUUAACCUCGUAACUACCACUUCUUUCCUUUCAGUUUGACUGUUAACACACUUCCCUGUGGCCCUCCGGAAGCUCUCUGCCCACCAUGAACCGUAUCCAGCCAGUUCUUGGAAUUUCUGAAGUUCUGACUGUUCUGUCAGCUGAAUUUAGGAUUGGAGUCUUCUGCUCACCUUGUUGUAAACAAGGCUCGUUCCUAUCAUCUUGAAGGGAAGCCACUGAAAGCUUCGGGACCACAAGAGGGCGUGUUCUGUUUUGCAUUUAACGUAUUUGACCGCUCUCAGUGCCAGUCACAACACCUGAACAGGUUAACUUCAUGUUUGCAUGCAAAUUUAGUGUGCUGGAGAGGUUCCAGGUUCUUCUAUUGAAAACUGAAAUAAUUCCACAGCGCAUACAGCAUCUUUGCCAUUUCUGUCCUCUGCCCGAGUGUGUCAUGCCUGGCCUGGACCGACCACAUCUGAAGAGGAGAUGAGCUGAUGGCACACAGCAGAACAGGAUCCUAGAUGAAACCCAGGCUGUGCUGAAGUCUGUGAGUUGGUGCCAAGCACAGAUUGGACUCUGACCGCAUGUGCGCAGAAGCUGAAUAAGAGCUCAGUGAUCUUCUGAAUGAAAAACACUAGUAAUUUUUCAUCUGGGUAAAAGGUGUCAUCGUGCAGGAGUGAAAGAGUUCAGCAAAAGUUAAUCACGUAAAUGAUGUCUUCCUCAUCUGUCUGGGUAAAACUGAGUAGGUGAACUGGCAUGGAGGGAUUAUGAACUGCUAAUAAUGAACUGAAUGUAUAUCCUGGCUUAGAAACCCUUCUGAAACAGUCACGCUCUGCCAAGUGGGUUUGACAGCCUUGCUCUUGCGCUGAAUUUCUCAAUCUGUGAGCCAUGGCUGACUGGCAAAGUGCUAUGAAAAGCGUCCCCUCCUUCUCUAAGACCCAUGUGAAACGGCAAGAAACGUUCACGUUUAGUUCAAGUGAGGUAGGGGAUUAUAGACAGAGAAGCAACUCAUGUCAAAGCAGUGUAGGACAAAACACCUUGUGCUGCUAACCAGAGCUACCUCAGGGCACUCCAGUGCUAUAGGCAACGUUGAAUUUAGCUGCAUCAAGGAAAAAGAUUUUAAGUCAGGUUGGGCUUAACCUAAAAGGGCCCUGGAC